This 406-nucleotide ribosomal RNA is filed under the name uncultured bacterium. Its description in RNAcentral is "partial 16S ribosomal RNA". It matches the Rfam family "Bacterial small subunit ribosomal RNA", at positions 28 to 526 of the family's 1533-position model. The record is from RNAcentral.
GAUGAACGCUAGCUACAGGCUUAACACAUGCAAGUCGAGGGACCGGCGCACGGGUGAGUAACACGUAUCCACCCUGCCCUUUACUCGGGGAUAUCCUUUCGAACGAAAGAUUAAUACCCGAUAUAACGGAUGGGGAUGCGUUCCCUUCGGUUGUUGGUGAGGUAACGGCACACCAAGCCUUCGAUGGAUAGGGGUUCUGAGAGGAAGGCACCCCGAGUUGGAACUGGGACACGGUCCAAGCGCUGACGGAGGGCAGCGGUUAGGAAGAGUUGUCAAUGGGCGGUAGCCUGAACCAGCCAAGUGUCGUGAAGGAUGAAGGGUUAGUGGUGGUAAACUUGUUUUAUAUAAGAAUAUGUAUUAUAUGAAUAAGGAUCGGCUAACUCCGUGCCAGCAGCCGCGGUAAUAC